AACUUUGGCGGCAGUAUCUAACACAUGCAACUCGAGCGAGAAGGAUCCUUCGGGGUCUGGAGAGCGGCGGACGGGUGAGUAACUGCGUGGGAACGUGCCCUUAGGUGGGGGACAACAGUUGGAAACGACUGCUAAUACCGCAUAAGCCAAUUUGGGAAAGCCUUCGGGCGCCUUGGGAUCGGCCCGCGUUAGAUUAGGUAGUUGGUGGGGUAAAGGCCCACCAAGUUUUACCAUCUAUAGCUGGUUUGAGAGAAUGAUCAGCNACACUGGGACUGAGACACGGCC
Molecule: ribosomal RNA, 285 nt
Filed under: uncultured bacterium
Lineage: Bacteria
Description: partial 16S ribosomal RNA
Rfam family: Bacterial small subunit ribosomal RNA
Source: RNAcentral